This 497-nucleotide ribosomal RNA is filed under the name uncultured bacterium. RNAcentral describes it as "partial 16S ribosomal RNA". It matches the Rfam family "Bacterial small subunit ribosomal RNA", at positions 28 to 507 of the family's 1533-position model. The record is from RNAcentral.
GAUGAACGCUGGCGGCGUGCCUAAUACAUGCAAGUCGAGCGAACGGACGAGAAGCUUGCUUCUCUGAUGUUAGCGGCGGACGGGUGAGUAACACGUGGAUAACCUACCUAUAAGACUGGGAUAACUUCGGGAAACCGGAGCUAAUACCGGAUGAUAUUUUGAACCGCAUGGUUCAAAAGUGAAAGACGGUCUUGCUGUCACUUAUAGAUGGAUCCGCGCUGCAUUAGCUAGUUGGUAAGGUAACGGCUUACCAAGGCAACGAUGCAUAGCCGACCUGAGAGGGUGAUCGGCCACACUGGAACUGAGACACGGUCACGACUCCUACGGGAGGCAGCAGUAGGGAAUCUUCCGCAAUGGGCGAAAGCCUGACGGAGCAACGCCGCGUGAGUGAUGAAGGUCUUCGGAUCGUAAAACUCUGUUAUUAGGGAAGAACAUAUGUGUAAGUAACUGUGCACAUCUUGACGGUACCUAAUCAGAAAGCCACGGCUAACUACGUG